CUUCGUGAAUUCCGAGAGAAUGUCUGCGUAUAUGUUUAGAAUUAUUGCUGAGAAUUCUCCCAAGACUCCCGGUAGAACUCCAUAAUUCUCUCUUCUGAAAAACUUUUCAAUAAUUAUCCACAAAUUCCCAAACAAUUAUUUGCGGGAUUCAAGGAUCCAACGAUUUUUUUUUUCAGAAAUUCUCGAACGAAUUUUCUCCAGAUUCGCGAAGAAAUUCUCCUAGAACUCUUGAAUGAAUCCUCAAAGGAUACCAGAAGGAUUCGUCCCAGUUAUCACGAAGAUAUCCUUCCAGAAAUUUUGAAAGAAUUCUUUAAUUAAUCUCAAAAAAUAUCAACUGGUUUCCACUUUGAUUUAUUGUCAGAAAUCGUGACUGAAUUCCAAAAAAAAACCCUUCAUGGAAUUCAGUAGGAAAUCCCGUAUGAAAAAAAAGGAUUCUCUCUCGAAUUUAGUAUGGAUCCCAAAAGGAUUCUAGAAACAAAACCGAAAGGACUGGCCGUAUUUGAUAGAGUUUUUCAGUGGCCGUGAAUUCUUUUAGUGAGAUAUUUAGUUUUAAUUUUCAUAACGAAUUGAAUCAAUACAUACACCUAGGAUUAUUUUUAUUUAGGUUUUGCCAGUCUUGUCAGUCUCAUCGUCUCAAAUCAUCAUCGGAGAACUAGGCAUUCCGGAAAGUUGGAUCUUAUGAACCAAAAGGAUAAGGGCUGGAUUACGGUUCUGCUAUCACCUUCUACUGCGCUGCAAGCCGAUGCCCAAGCCCAAGCACACGAGGUUACCAUGGAGUAUACCACGGCGGAUUAUGUGAUCAAUUAUGAUCUUCCCUAUCUUAAGUUAUUGCUAGAAGAAUUCAAGGACGCCAAACAAAUUUCCUAUUAGUCUAAGUAUCAAGGAUAUUAGAUUUCGACCCGAGGUUAUAGAGCUUAAUGAGAAAUUUAACCUCCGGGAAACAAUUGACGAAGGUGAUCGAGGUUCGUCUAGAGGAGCAUCAACAGAGCUAUGUGCUGAUGAGAAGCCAACUGGAAAACUGUCCUUUCUGCAGCAUGAAAGGAUUCAGAAUGGAAUCUAAAAUUGAUUCCACAAUAGGGGGAAAGACGGCUUUGGCAGGUUUUGUUCUAUUAUUGUCAGGGGGGUUUUUGUCGACCAAAUUUUAUGAAAUUUGGCCACAAUAUUCUUUGAUAUGCAAAGAAUGUUCAGGCCAAAUUUGAGCAUAGUCAGUCAUAAAAAACCCCUGCAAAUAAUAGAACAAAACCUGCCAAAGCCGUCAUUCCCCCUAUGUGAUUUCGAAUGAGUAACGAAUGGAAUGACGAGUUUUGAAUUCUUACGGGAUUCUAUUCGUACGCCAGUCGGUAUUCUAUUCUGAAUCUAUAUGUUUUUUCGGUAUUCUUCCGAGAUUUUAGUCGAAAUAUUUUCGGUACUCCGUUCAGAAUCCUUGCGGGAUUUCAUUCGUAAUUCUUCAGGGAUUAAAUUCAAAAUUCUUUAGGGGUUCCAUUCGUAAUCCAUUUGUAAUCCUUAUGAAUUUCCAUUCGCAUUCUACACAAUCAUUUGAGGUCACAUUCAGAAUCUGUCGGACAAUAAAAAAAAGAAUCUGUUGGGGAAUCCUUGGACUGCGGGAUUCCAUUUGAAAUCCUCUUGGGAAUUCAUUCAAAACAUGUUCAGAAUUCCAUUCAUAAUCCGUUCGGAGUUCUACACUUUGAGCACUUUUGUGGAAUUUUGAAAGUAUUUCUAAUGAUAUCCCGCAAUGAUUUCGAAUAGAAUACCAAGGGAAAUACAUAAAGAAUUGCGAAUGGAAUCCCAAAAAUGGUUUCGAACGGAAUUCCAAAAGAAUUACGGAUUUUAUCCCCAAAGAAUUACCAACGGAAUUCCAAAUAAAAUACCGAACGACGAAAGGUUUCCUAAGGGAUUCGGAAAAAUAUCUCGAGUGGAUUCCACAUGUGAUUCUAAAAAUAAUCCGAAUCGAACCCGGAAAGAAUUCCGAGUGGAAUCAAUUCGAGAUCUCAUUCAGAAUCAUUCCGUGAUUCCUUUCGAAAUUUCGUGGGAAUUAUAUUCGCACUCCUUUUGGGAUAAAAUUUGAUUUUGUUUUGGAAUUUCAUUCGAAAUAAUCGAGGGAUUUCAUUUGGAAUCAUUUUGUAAUUCCAUAGUGUGCUAUAGGAAAGUAUGGAGGCAAGAAAAAAGAAUGGAAGACCACAAGGAUUUCGAAUAAAAUCUUAAGAGGAUUCUGAUUGACUGAUGAAGCAGAUGAAAAAGCGAAAAGGUUUGGAAUAGAAUACCAAAAGGGUUACGAAUGAAAUUCCGAAAGGAUAGCGAAUGGCAUCACGUGAGGUUUGUGAAUUGAAACCUGAGAAUAACCUUUCGAUUUGGUAUUGAGAUUUCAUUAGCUAUCCUUUCGCAACUUAUUUAAAAAAAUCGGAACCUUUCAGAAUUCUAUGUCUCAUCCUUUGAGAAGUUUAUUCUCAAUACUUUAAGGAUCAACUUCGAAUUUACUGGUGAUUCCUUUCAAAACCAUUCUUGGGAAUCUGUUCGGAAUCCACUAAAGAUUCCAAUUGUGUAGGGAUUCUAUCCAGAAACCUUUCGAGAUUCCACAAACAGUGCUUUAGCUUUUCGGUCUGAUUUUUUUCAGGAUUUUAUUUGGAAUAAUUUCGAUGUUCCAAUUGUAUUUUUGUGAUUCCAUACGCUUCCUUCUAGAACUCCUUUCGGUAUACUUUCAGCAUUUCUUUCGGGAAUCCCGGGAAGGAUUUCGAAACUAAUUCUCAAUGAAUUGAUGGAUUGUUCAAAUGCUAUUUAGAAAAAAAUUGCGAAUGGACCCUGGAAAUUUUUCCCAUUGGAAUCCUUAGGGAAUUUCCAAUAAUUUAUAGAAUCUUAACAUAUCUAAAUUCCAAUGCCAUGGCCAUUGGCUAUGCACCGCAAACGGGUUCUAUCUGAUGCCCCUACUCGAUUCCAUGGAAUCGAUAUAUCCUUCUCACAAUCAUUAUCCAAUUUACGGACGCAUUCCCGAGUAUAACUUAACUUGCUACUGUAUAAGGGUGAAAUCAGGAGUGAUUCAGUUUGAUUCUAAAUUUUCGACCACUAUUCUAGUUUGCAUCUGGAGCAAAAUAGAACAAACUCGCUGGUUUUCCCAGCAGUGUUCUAUUCAUGUUUUUCAAAUUUUCAAAUAAUUGAAAUCAUUAUGUUA
Molecule: long non-coding RNA, 3163 nt
Organism: Armigeres subalbatus
Lineage: Eukaryota; Metazoa; Arthropoda; Insecta; Diptera; Culicidae
Exons: 3
Source: RefSeq, a predicted model, not a curated record